RNAcentral lists this ribosomal RNA (275 nucleotides) under uncultured bacterium. RNAcentral describes it as "partial 16S ribosomal RNA". It matches the Rfam family "Bacterial small subunit ribosomal RNA", at positions 399 to 691 of the family's 1533-position model. The record is from RNAcentral.
GCGUGAGUGAAGAAGGCCCUAGGGUUGUAAAGCUCUUUCGGUGGGGAAGAUAAUGACGGUACCCACAAAAGAAGCCCCGGCUAACUCCGUGCCAGCAGCCGCGGUAAUACGGAGGGGGCUAGCGUUACUCGGAAUUACUGGGCGUAAAGCGAGCGUAGGCGGUUAAUCAAGUUGGGGGUGAAAGCCCGGGGCUCAACCCCGGAAAUGCCCUCAAAACUAGUUAACUAGAGGACGGGAGAGGGGAGUGGAACUCCCAGUGUAGAGGUGAAAUUCGU